Molecule: ribosomal RNA, 475 nt
Filed under: uncultured Magnetococcus sp.
Lineage: Bacteria; Pseudomonadati; Pseudomonadota; Magnetococcia; Magnetococcales; Magnetococcaceae
Description: bacterial SSU rRNA
Rfam family: Bacterial small subunit ribosomal RNA
Source: RNAcentral
UUCGGGACGCUGGCGAGUGGCGAACGGGUGCGUAACGCAUGGAAACCUGCCCCGAGGUGUGGGACAACAGUUGGAAACGACUGCUAAUACCGCAUAAGCCUUACGAGGGAAAGGCGCAAGUCGCCUUGGGAGGGGUCCGCGUCGGAUUAGCUAGUUGGUGGAGUAAAGGCCUACCAAGGCGAUGAUCCGUAGCUGGUCUGAGAGGAUGAUCAGCCACACUGGGACUGAGACACGGCCCAGACUCCUACGGGAGGCAGCAGUGGGGAAUAUUGCGCAAUGGGAGAAAUCCUGACGCAGCGAUACCGCGUGGGUGAAGAAGGUCUUCGGAUUGUAAAGCCCUUUCAGCAGGAAAGAUGAUGACGGUACCUGCAGAAGAAGCCCCGGCUAACUCCGUGCCAGCAGCCGCGGUAAUACGGAGGGGGCGAGCGUUGUUCGGAAUGACUGGGCGUAAAGGGCGCGUAGGCUGCUCUGCAAG